RNAcentral lists this ribosomal RNA (489 nucleotides) under uncultured bacterium. RNAcentral's name for it is "bacterial SSU rRNA". It matches the Rfam family "Bacterial small subunit ribosomal RNA", at positions 29 to 526 of the family's 1533-position model. The record is from RNAcentral.
AAUGAACGUUGGCGGCGUGGAUUAGGCAUGCAAGUCGAGCGAUGAAACCGUGCUUGCACGGUGGAUUAGCGGCGAAAGGGAGAGUAACGCGUAGGUAUGUACCCUCAGGUUCGGGAUAGCGGCGGGAAACUGCCGGUAAUACCGGAUAAUGUGUCAGCACCAAAGGUGUGAUUCCGCCUGGGGAGCGGCCUGCGUCCUAUUAGGUUGUUGGUGGGGUAAUGGCCUACCAAGCCGAAGAUGGGUACCGGGUGUGAGAGCAUGGCCCGGCUCACUGGGACUGAGACACUGCCCAGACACCUACGGGUGGCUGCAGUCGAGAAUCUUCCGCAAUGGACGAAAGUCUGACGGAGCGACGCCGCGUGCGGGAUGAAGGCCUUCGGGUUGUAAACCGCUGUCAGAGAGGCGGAAAUGCAUAGUGGUUAUCCUCUAUGUUUGACCUAAUCUCAGAGGAAGCGCAGGCUAAGUUCGUGCCAGCCGCCGCCGUAACAC